This 253-nucleotide ribosomal RNA is filed under the name uncultured bacterium. Its description in RNAcentral is "partial 16S ribosomal RNA". It matches the Rfam family "Bacterial small subunit ribosomal RNA", at positions 524 to 776 of the family's 1533-position model. The record is from RNAcentral.
UACGUAGGGGGCAAGCGUUGUCCGGAUUUAUUGGGCGUAAAGAGCGUGUAGGCGGCUUUACAGGUCCGUUGUGAAAACUCGAGGCUCAACCUCGAGACGCCGGUGGAAACCGUAAGGCUAGAGUCCGGAAGAGGAGAGUGGAAUUCCUGGUGUAGCGGUGAAAUGCGCAGAUAUCAGGAAGAACACCCGUGGCGAAGGCGGCUCUCUGGGCCGAUACUGACGCUGAGGAGCGAAAGCAUGGGUAGCGAACAGG